GCAACUGCUGGCACAAAAUUAGUUAUUAAUUUUAAUAUUACUAAAUCUUAAUUUCUUAAAUUUUUAAUAUUAAUUACUACUUCUAUCCUUUAAAUAUUAUCCAAAUAAUUAAAAUUUACCACUAAAAUUUAUAUGUAAAAUAAACUCAUAUUAAAUUCCUUUAAACUAUAAAAAUUUAUU
RNAcentral lists this ribosomal RNA (180 nucleotides) under Samia ricini (Indian eri silkmoth). RNAcentral's name for it is "partial 12S ribosomal RNA". Lineage: Eukaryota; Metazoa; Arthropoda; Insecta; Lepidoptera; Saturniidae. The record is from RNAcentral.